This 1328-nucleotide ribosomal RNA is filed under the name metagenome. RNAcentral's name for it is "bacterial LSU rRNA". It matches the Rfam family "Bacterial large subunit ribosomal RNA", at positions 1556 to 2911 of the family's 2925-position model. The record is from RNAcentral.
UGAAAGUUGAAAGUACAGAGCGACUUCGGUCAAUCUGAUAGCGUUGCUAAGAGCUGCCAAGAAAAUCUGCUAAACUUAGAUUAUAUAUACCCGUACCGUAAACCGACACAGGUAGUCGAGGAGAGAAUCCUAAGGUGCUCGAGUGAAUCAUGGCUAAGGAACUCGGCAAAAUGGUCCUGUAACUUCGGGAGAAGGGACGCUCUAGCGAUAGAGCCGCAGUAAAAAGGCCCAGGCGACUGUUUAACAAAAACACAAGGCUUUGCUAAAUCGUAAGAUGAUGUAUAAGGCCUGACACCUGCCCGGUGCUGGAAGGUUAAGAGGGGAUGUUAUUCUUCGGGAGAAGCAUUGAAUCGGAGCCCCAGUAAACGGCGGCCGUAACCAUAACGGUCCUAAGGUAGCGAAAUUCCUUGUCGGGUAAGUUCCGACCUGCACGAAUGGUGUAACGAUCUGGGCACUGUCUCAGCCAUGAGCUCGGUGAAAUUGUGGUAUCGGUGAAGACGCCGGUUACCCGCAACGGGACGGAAAGACCCCAUGCACCUUCACUACAACUUAACAUUGGCAUUGGACACAAGAUGUGUAGGAUAGGUGGGAGAUAUUGAAGUAGAUUCGCCAGGAUUUAUGGAAUCAACGUUGAAAUACCACCCUUUUUGUGUUCGGUGUCUAACUUUAUGAAAUUAGAGGACAUUGUUUGGUGGGUAGUUUGACUGGGGUGGUCGCCUCCAAAAGAGUAACGGAGGCUUUCAAAGGUAUGCUCAGUACGCUUGGUAACCGUACGUGGAGUGCAAUAGCAAAAGCAUGCUUGACUGUAAGAACUACAAUUCGAGCAGGUACGAAAGUAGGAUAUAGUGAUCCGGUGUUUCUGCAUGGAAGGGACAUCGCUCAAAGGAUAAAAGGUACGCUGGGAUAACAGGCUGAUCUCCCCCAAGAGCUCAUAUCGACGGGGAGGUUUGGCACCUCGAUGUCGGCUCGUCACAUCCUGGGGCUGGAGAAGGUCCCAAGGGUUCGGCUGUUCGCCGAUUAAAGUGGCACGCGAGCUGGGUUCAGAACGUCGCGAGACAGUUCGGUCCCUAUCUGUUGUGGGCGCAGGAAUUUUGCGUGGCUCUGACCUUAGUACGAGAGGACCGGGUUGGACUAACCUCUAGUGUAUCUGUUAUGACGCCAGUUGUAUUGCAGAGUAGCUACGUUGGGCAGAGAUAAGCGCUGAAAGCAUCUAAGUGCGAAACUCACCACAAGAUAAGAAUUCCAUAUAGGAUCGUUGAAGAUUACAACGUUGAUAGGUUAUAGAUGUAAAGCUAGUGAUAGCAUAGUCGAGUAAUACUAAUCAUCCA